RNAcentral lists this long non-coding RNA (5346 nucleotides) under Strigops habroptila (Kakapo). RNAcentral describes it as "lncRNA (ENSSHBG00005003659.1)". The record is from RNAcentral. Lineage: Eukaryota; Metazoa; Chordata; Aves; Psittaciformes; Psittacidae.
GCACAGACCGCUGACUUGAAGCACUUGAACACUUAGUAUGUGUCACAUUUAACUCUUGCUUCUUGAAAAUAAAUGUUAGGAAAAGUCUUCGGUCCGUGCACACCAUGGUAAUGCAAGUGCCAUUGUCCCAGAGUAAGGAAACUGGAAGAGAACUUAUUUGUACUCACGAAAGCCAAAGUAUUUGUUGCCAUAUUUGAACUCUGUUGAUGAGCUGUGUUGAAGGAGUUUAGCAUUGUUUAAAGAGCAUCAAUAUAUAAGUAGUUUCUCCUUUGGAAUAUUGACAUCAGCAGAUGUUUCUGAGCAUGUUAUAUUAGCAUAUCAGUCUUUUCAGCACAUCACUAGUUGUAAAAUUUGUGCUUAAGAAUUACUUGUUUGAUGAAAACAAGUAAUUAAAAAAAUCCUUUUUUAAAAAAUUACCCUUUUAGAAAUGAGGAAUUCAAUCAGAGCCUUACUUGACUUUAGUGCAAGGAGUCUGCUUUACUUUUUUUGUGAGAUUGUGGUAUGUGUUAAGAGGAGAAUAAAAUGCUGUUGUUAAAUGUCCUUAGCACCUAUGCUUUUUUUUAGUGGCACUCUCUGGAAGACACCUUUUCUCCGCUGAUGUGUGUACUGCCUGUUCACAAAACAGCCAUGUGGCUUAGUGUGGGUAUAUACUAUUGCCCCGACUCGCUAGUGUGUUAAAAGGGCUGAUGUGCUGGCUCUGUGAGUGUUUGCAUGUGCCAGUGUUAAGGGCCAUCCCCCUGAAGGAUCAGACUACCUUGGCAAUUGACAGUUACUCUAAUUACCCAUAGAAUAAAUCAGAAUAAGAUAGAGUAAAAUAAUGUAUUUGUAGAAUCCUCACUCAAUUGCUAUGUUUGUAAAAGCUAUGGAAAUAAACUUGACUACUUAAAUUAGGACCAGAGGAUUCCUUCAUCCUGUGUUAGCCUGUAGCCAGGUUGCCUUACAGUUACGUAUCUAAAGAUCUAGCGCUUACUGUCUCUUGAGUUGUCUCAUGUUGGUCUCAGAAUACCACAUGUAUUUAGCAACUCCUCCCAUCCAUUAGGACCCCAAACUUUCCUUGAGGGUUAUUCAGAUUCAAAAAGAUUUUGUAAACUUGGCUCACUAAAGGAGUGGUUAUGACAUUCCUUCCUUAAAGCCAGCAAUGUUCCUUCGUACUUUGGAAACAUUAACAUCUCUUUGGCAUGGCAGGAACUGAAAAGCCAUCAACCUGUUGUAAUGCAAUAUGUCCCUUCCUGUCACAUAGGGCAAAGUGUAAAGCCCAGGUAGAUGUGUUCUCAGAGUGUGCCAGGUUACAUUUUCUGUUGAACAUAAAAUUUGAUCACACAGGGUUAUGCAGCUGGUUGUUGUUCACAUUUGAGAUUAACCUUCAUAUUUGCCCAUUGCUUUGGGUUGAUGAAAGCGUGAGCGAUGACUGCCCAAUUCUCUUUGAAGAAUUCAAUUUCAACAAGAUCAACAUAAGCUAUUUCAGCAGUGCUUACAUCAGUAUCAAUUGAGAUUAUUUAUUCAUGAGGCUAGAAUAAACAGCAUCAUCUGUACAAAAAUCCCUGCAGCUCCUUUCAUGUUGAUGGCUGAGGAUGACAUCCUACUGGUGUAUACGGAAAGAGCAGAAAUACAUGAUGCCUUUUUUUGCUUCAGUCUUCACAGGCAAAGUCUGCUGCUUUUUCUGUGGGUAAGAGCAUCAUUUCUGAAGGUGAGUGGCUGCCUACAAUGGAGGAGCAAUGGGUUAGAACGGCUUUAGAGCACAGUGCUCUUAAGUCACCUUAUAACCAUGGCACUGCAUGAGCCUUACACACAAGUCUAGUUUAAUAGCAUUGCCUAUCAGCGAUAAAAAAAAGUGUAAUCAAGGAGGUCCCUGACAACUGGAUUGAGGCUGUUGUCCCCUUUUUUAAAAAAGGUGAAGUGAAGGGUCUAGGGAAGUACUGGUUGAUCAAACUUAUCUCAGUCUCCAAAAAAUCAUGGACCAUGUGCUGCAUGUACUUUUGGAAUCCAUCUCCAGCACGCAAAGAGCAAGGUGAUGAAGAACAAUCACCUGAGAGUCAUGAUGGCAAAUCAUGCUUGACCAAGGUGGUUGUCUUCUAGGAGGAAAUGUCUGGUUAGGUGGACAAAGGAAGAGCCAUGAAUUUAAUGAUGAAAAUUCAGUGCAAGUAUAAACUAUGUAAUUGCUUAAUAGUCUAUUAUUAAACACUGCACAUUGCUACUAUUAAAGUCAACAGGCAAGCUGUCAGUUAAGGUUUUGCAAAUUUUGGUGCUUGUUCAUUGCAUUCUGCUUGCCAAUGUACCUUUUGUACUGCUGAGGAGGGACUCUGUUAGCGACUGUAGUGAUAGGAUAAGGGCUGAUGGGUUCAAACUUAAACAGGGGAAGUUCAGGUCACAUAUAAGGAAGAAGUUCAUUACUGCGAGGGUGGUGAGGCACAGGAACAGGUUGGCCAAGGAAGUUGUGAAUGUUCUAUCCCUGGCAGUGUUCAAAGCCAGGCUGGACAGAGUCUUGGGUGACAUGGUUUAGUGUGUAGUCUCUCUUCCCAUGGCAGGGUGUUGGAACUAGACCUUAAGGUCCUUUCCAACCCUAACUAUUCUAUGAUUCUAUAACUGGCUUAUGGGUGGUACUGGGUCUGUAGCAUAGAGGUGUGAAUUACUUUUGCAGUAAGCCAGUAUCAUUUGCAUUACAGAAAUCAAUUUAGUCACAUUAUAAUUAUGCCCAAUGCAUUAUUAUUUUGUUAAAUAUCCCAUAGCAAAGAAUCUCGAUAAAUUAGAUGCAGCAAUGUUGAAUAAUACUACUGGCAUUUGAGAGAUUUGCAAUGAGAUGUAGAAGAAUUAGACUCCCAAAUGAGUUGAAAGUAUUUCAAGUGGAUGUCUGAUAAGAAAAAAUAUUCCAAAAUUGGUGAGUGCCACAACACAUUUGACAGUUAUACAAGUUUUUGAUUUUAUCCCAGAAGGUUUUAUUCUUACGUAUCAUGAGAAUUAUAUAUUAUGUCCCCUGCUGCAGCCAUAGAUCAUUCUUGUUUUUAUAAUAGCUUCUACAGCCUGACUAUUUUAUAGCCAUUCGGUAACACAGUUUUUGCUUGAGCAAAGACCCUGUUCCUAGGGUACACUUAGUCUGGGAAUGGUGAGAGGUCCAAGAAAUGCUGUUAAGGGAGACUGUAAAAGCAUGUAGCCAGCUGAGAAAGAGACACAAAGUGUGGUUGUCUAAGGGAAAAGGUAGUGUCUAGAAAUGUAUUUCUGGAGCAAGAGUCUGCUGCUUAGGAUUGGGGCCAGUAGAAAUCUCAAAAUUGUAAAAGAAACAGACUGGGAUGUAGAGCUGGGGACUUGCUGCAAUUAAAUCUUACUCCUUAGCAAGGACAAUGCCUGAGGUGUUACAAAGAACCUGUGCAGUCACAAGUGAGAAAUAUUGUCAGUCCUCAGGAAGAGGAUGAACCCCAGUACAGUGUUGCUUGGUCCAGGAGAGGAUAUCCUCUCUAGUGAUGCUGUCCCCUUUGCAGCAUCUCUCAUAAUAAUUAAUGAAAACAUCAGAGCAGAUACCUGAAUACCAGAGCAGGAGUUAUGACCAAAAAAAUGCUUGGAAGAGAGGAACAUGGAGCCUAUUUUUACACAAAAGGAAUAGGAGGCAGUGGAGUAACACAAUUGUGUGCAGUGACUCUGCAGGGAAACAAGGAUCUGACUGCUGAAAGCUGAUAGUAGGUAGAAACCAGCAUUCACAUGUUCCUCCUUUUCCCUGCCUAGCAGUGGAAGCAUUGUGGCCGUGCUGUAGAAGCCCUCUUUUCCUUUACAGCAAGGUGACUGCAAGAUCUUGCCUUUAUGCCUGACAUAGUUCCUGUGGGCAGUUCAGCUUAGACAGGGUGACAGAGUCCAGAAGUGGCCCCAGCUGGCUAAUGUUAAACAUUAUCGUAUGCAUGAUAAUACACAAGUUGCAAGAUGUCUCCUGGCCUUCCUUAGGGGGUCAAACAGGAAUGAUUUCCUCAUAAACACAGGAGCCAAAGCUGGAAUUCAGCCUUUGAGAGAGCAGUAGCUUGUUUUCUGUAUAAGUUGGGAUUCAUGUCUGUGUGUUAUGAUUGCCAGUGUCAAGAUCUUAUAGGGCAACAGAAAGAAACGAUGUAGUAGGCGAAUACAAAGAUAUUGUCAAAGCAUUUCCUUGAUAAAAUUACGUGAAAAAUGUAUGGAUCUUUCCUCAACAGAAACCUAUUAGUGAGAUAGACUGAAUGUUUCUAAGGGUUGUAAAGAUGCUGCUUAUAGCAUACACGUAUGAAACAGACUAUUUUGACAUGACUGAGGAGGUGCUGUUCUGGCCCAUGCCAUUUCCUUUCAUGCUGAAAGAAGACGCUUUGAAAAAUUUACUAACUUAUUUCAAGAACCACAACACAGCUCAGAUACUCAUUCCUCAGCUUAUAUAUCAUCUUGAUAUGUUGGAGGAGGAAAUCCUGGAGACCCAGAUCAUUACAGAUAUUACCAGUAAUCUUAACCUUGAACUCUUAUCACCCCAAUCCAUUUAAAUCUCUGGACUAAGAAACACAGAUAGAACUCUGGGAUUAGCAGAAGUCGGCCCUGUAGGUUGAUAUGCAACACAAACAUGGACUAUGACCCCUUUGGUGUGCCUGGCCAGCCUAAACAGAAACAUAAUGAAGUGACUGUGACAUCAGAUGAAAAUGGUUCACAUAAGAUGAAUCUAACCUCAUUUGAAUUAAUCUGGCAAGAGCUGUGGGCUGGUGGCUAAGAGUGGAGUGUUCAUGUUAAGCUGAAUGCUGCUGCUGGAGAAGGAGCCAAACCCAAAAUGUGGUGGUUAGAAUAUUCUUACCAUUUUAGUGUGCUUCAUCAGCAAGAGGCUGGUUACAACAGCACUCUGAAGUACAGCUUUAUACGCUAGUCUAGGUUUGUUGUUCUUGUGAUUUAAAUACUGUUUUAAAUACCGGUUACAGUCCUAAAAGAGAUACUAUGGUCUGGGUAACUACUAACCUGUGUUAGCUCUCUGCUUUUAAUAACUGACAGCCCCAAGUGAACUGUCAAUUAAAAUUACAGAUUCCUGUUGAUCAGAGAUAUCUACAGUGAAUCUCUAGCCACUGACAAGAAACAGGCUUCUAUGCUACCAGACAGUCUGCUGUAAUAACAGGAAAAAAAUAUUUUUAAUCAUAAGCCAUAAAUGAAUUUUCUGCUGUCUUUGAGUAUGUUGUUUUGCAAAGGGAUUGGGGUAAAAGCUUUAAACAGGAGACUUUUGAAAAGCUCAUGAAAACACGUUUCCUAAAUAAAGUCCUUGAAUCUUAAUCACUCAGGAUUGAGAACUACAUUCAGAAAAGCUAAGUAACUGUUUUAUGUGCAUUGGAGAAUAUUACCUGAAAUAAUUAAUUGCCUGUAAAUACAAAA